GACAGAGGGUGCAAACGUUGCUCGGAAUUACUGGGCGUAAAGCGCCCGUAGGCGGCUUUGUAAGUUAGAGGUGAAAGCCUGGAGCUCAACUCCAGAACUGCCUUUAAGACUGCAUCGCUUGAAUCCAGGAGAGGUGAGUGGAAUUCCGAGUGUAGAGGUGAAAUUCGUAGAUAUUCGGAAGAACACCAGUGGCGAAGGCGGCUCACUGGACUGGUAUUGACGCUGAGGUGCGAAAGCGUGGGGAGCAAACAGG
RNAcentral lists this ribosomal RNA (253 nucleotides) under uncultured bacterium. RNAcentral's name for it is "partial 16S ribosomal RNA". It matches the Rfam family "Bacterial small subunit ribosomal RNA", at positions 524 to 776 of the family's 1533-position model. The record is from RNAcentral.